Molecule: ribosomal RNA, 484 nt
Filed under: uncultured bacterium
Lineage: Bacteria
Description: partial 16S ribosomal RNA
Rfam family: Bacterial small subunit ribosomal RNA
Source: RNAcentral
AUUGAACGCUGGCGGCAUGCCUUACACAUGCAAGUCGAACGGCAGCACGGGAGCAAUCCUGGUGGCGAGUGGCGAACGGGUGAGUAAUACAUCGGAACGUGCCCAAUCGUGGGGGAUAACGCAGCGAAAGCUGUGCUAAUACCGCAUACGAUCUACGGAUGAAAGCAGGGGACCGCAAGGCCUUGCGCGAAUGGAACGGCCGAUGGCAGAUUAGGUAGUUGGUGGGGUAAAGGCUCACCAAGCCAACGAUCUGUAGCUGGUCUGAGAGGACGACCAGCCACACUGGGACUGAGACACGGCCCAGACUCCUACGGGAGGCAGCAGUGGGGAAUUUUGGACAAUGGGCGCAAGCCUGAUCCAGCCAUGCCGCGUGCAGGAUGAAGGCCUUCGGGUUGUAAACUGCUUUUGUACGGAACGAAACGGCCUUUUCUAAUAAAGAGGGCUAAUGACGGUACCGUAAGAAUAAGCACCGGCUAACUACGUG